AAUGUUCAAAUAUUUAUAGGAUUAAGAUGGGCAUGCGUGUCAUUAGCUAGUUGGCGGGGUAACGGCCCACCAAGGCGACGAUGACUAGGGGAUCUGAGAGGAUGACCCCCCACACUGGUACUGAGACACGGACCAGACUCCUACGGGAGGCAGCAGUAAGGAAUAUUGGUCAAUGGAGGCAACUCUGAACCAGCCAUGCCGCGUGCAGGAAGACAGCCCUCUGGGUCGUAAACUGCUUUUAUUCGGGAAUAAACCACAUUACGUGUAAUGUGCUGAAUGUACCGAAGGAAUAAGGAUCGGCUAACUCCGUGCCAGCAGCCGCGGUAAUACGGAGGAUCCAAGCGUUAUCCGGAUUUAUUGGGUUUAAAGGGUGCGUAGGCGGCUUAUUAAGUCAGGGGUGAAAGACGGUGGCUCAACCAUCGCAGUGCCUUUGAUACUGAUGAGCUUGAAUACACUAGAGGUAGGCGGAAUGUGACAAGUAGCGGUGAAAUGCAUAGAUAUGUCACAGAACACCGAUUGCGAAGGCAGCUUACUAUGGUGUGAUUGACGCUGAGGCACGAAAGCGUGGGGAUCAAACAGGAUUAGAUACCCUGGUAGUCCACGCCCUAAACGAUGAAUACUCGCUGUUAGCGAUAUACAGUUAGCGGCUAAGCGAAAGCGUUAAGUAUUCCACCUGGGGAGUACGCCCGCAAGGGUGAAACUCAAAGGAAUUGACGGGGGCCCGCACAAGCGGAGGAGCAUGUGGUUUAAUUCGAUGAUACGCGAGGAACCUUACCCGGGCUUGAAAGUUAGUGAAUCAUUUAGAGAUAGAUGAGUCCGCAAGGACACGAAACUAGGUGCUGCAUGGCUGUCGUCAGCUCGUGCCGUGAGGUGUUGGGUUAAGUCCCGCAACGAGCGCAACCCCUAUGUUUAGUUGCCAGCACGUUAUGGUGGGGACUCUAAACAGACUGCCUGUGCAAACAGAGAGGAAGGAGGGGACGACGUCAAGUCAUCAUGGCCCUUACGUCCGGGGCUACACACGUGCUACAAUGGAUGGUACAAAGGGCAGCAAGCUGGCAACAGCAAGCGAAUCUCAAAAAGCCAUUCACAGUUCGGAUAGAGGUCUGCAACUCGACCUCUUGAAGUUGGAUUCGCUAGUAAUCGCGUAUCAGCAAUGACGCGGUGAAUACGUUCCCGGGCCUUGUACACACCGCCCGUCAAGCCAUGGAAGUUGGGGGUACCUAAAGUAUGUAACCGCAAGGAGCGUCCUAGGGUAAAACCGAUAACUGGGGCUAAGUCGUAACAAGGUA
Molecule: ribosomal RNA, 1289 nt
Filed under: metagenome
Description: bacterial SSU rRNA
Rfam family: Bacterial small subunit ribosomal RNA
Source: RNAcentral